GAUGAACGCUGGCGGCGUGCCUAAUACAUGCAAGUCGAGCGAACAGACGAGGAUCUUGCUCCUCUGACGUUUGCUGCGGACGUGUGAGUAACACGUGGAUAACCUACCUAUAGGACUGGGAUAACUUCGGGAAACCGGAGCUAAUACCGGAUAAUAUAUUGAACCGCAUGGUUCAAUAGUGAAAGACGGUUUUGCUGUCACUUAUAGAUGGAUCCGCGCCGCAUUAGCUAGUUGGUAAGGUAACGGCUUACCAAGGCAACGAUGCCUAGCCUACCUGAGAGUGUGAGCAGCCACACUCGAAAUGAGGCAAGGGACACGCGUCUCAGGGCGGCACCAGUUGGGACUCCUCCGCAAGGCGCCAAAGCCCAGAGGGACAACCGCGCCAAGGUCAUGGAAGUCUUUGGGUCGUAACACUCUGUUACUAGGGAAGAACAAAUGUGUAAGUAGCUAUGCACGUCUUGACGGUACCUAAUCAGAAAGCCACGGCUAACUACAUG
Molecule: ribosomal RNA, 497 nt
Filed under: uncultured bacterium
Lineage: Bacteria
Description: partial 16S ribosomal RNA
Rfam family: Bacterial small subunit ribosomal RNA
Source: RNAcentral